AGAGUUUGAUCCUGGCUCAGAUUGAACGCUGGCGGAAUGCUUUACACAUGCAAGUCGAACGGUAGAGGGGGCAACCCCUUGAGAGUGGCGAACGGGUGAGUAAUAUAUCGGAACGUGCCCAGUCGUGGGGGAUAACGUAGUGAAAAUUACGCUAAUACCGCAUACGAUCUAAGGAUGAAAGCGGGGGAUCGCAAGACCUCGCGCGACUGGAGCGGCCGAUAUCAGAUUAGGUAGUUGGUAGGGUAAAGGCCUACCAAGCCAACGAUCUGUAGCUGGUCUGAGAGGACGACCAGCCACACUGGAACUGAGACACGGUCCAGACUCCUACGGGAGGCAGCAGUGGGGAAUUUUGGACAAUGGGCGAAAGCCUGAUCCAGCCAUUCCGCGUGCAGGAUGAAGGCCCUCGGGUUGUAAACUGCUUUUGUACAGAACGAAAAGGUUUCUAUUAAUACUAGGAGCUCAUGACGGUACUGUAAGAAUAAGCACCGGCUAACUACGUGCCAGCAGCCGCGGUAAUACGUAGGGUGCAAGCGUUAAUCGGAAUUACUGGGCGUAAAGCGUGCGCAGGCGGUUAUAUAAGUCAGAUGUGAAAUCCCCGGGCUCAACCUGGGAACUGCAUUUGAGACUGUAUAGCUAGAGUACGGUAGAGGGGGAUGGAAUUCCGCGUGUAGCAGUGAAAUGCGUAGAUAUGCGGAGGAACACCGAUGGCGAAGGCAAUCCCCUGGACCUGUACUGACGCUCAUGCGCGAAAGCGUGGGGAGCAAACAGGAUUAGAUACCCUGGUAGUCCACGCCCUAAACGAUGCUGACUAGUUGUUGGGAAUUUACAUUCUCAGUAA
This 838-nucleotide ribosomal RNA is filed under the name uncultured bacterium. RNAcentral describes it as "bacterial SSU rRNA". It matches the Rfam family "Bacterial small subunit ribosomal RNA", at positions 8 to 846 of the family's 1533-position model. The record is from RNAcentral.